Molecule: long non-coding RNA, 586 nt
Organism: Atta colombica
Lineage: Eukaryota; Metazoa; Arthropoda; Insecta; Hymenoptera; Formicidae
Exons: 4
Source: RefSeq, a predicted model, not a curated record
UGCUGACGCUCAUUGUUAAAAGACGUCACCUGACCAUUUUGCUUGCUAGCAUAAAAAAAGUGAAGUUGAAUUUAACAGUUAACGUCAUCGCUGGACCUUCGUUAAUCAUAUCGAUUUAAAAUAAAAAAUAGACUUUGACGAUGAAUCCUCUCAAUCCCAUACAAAUGUGCGGGUUAUGUGAAAUCUGUCUGCAAACAAAUAUCAGGAAUCAUGCUUGUUUAAGAUGAUGGAGUGACCAUAAUAAAAAGUAGAAUGCCAAGUAUAAAUAAAAAAAUAGUAACAACGCAAUCACACAAGAAAAAUAAAUUUUGUUUCGUCCAUACAAGAAUAUUAUCUGAAUAAAAUUCUUAUGAGAAACGAAGAAAUUCAGAUGAAGGCUUAAAAGCAAAACUUAAUGAUGAAGAAACUCUCAUUUUAAAAAGUUAGUUCCAGUUACGAAAGCCUCUUUGGAAUUAUAAACUUCCACUAUCACGCAACAUUAAAAAUUACAGUCAAUGCAGUUAAUGAAAUAAAAUUUAAAAGCUUACAUGAUACAUACAACGAAUAAAUAUUAAAUAAAUGUAAAUAAAUAUAAUAUUCAAAAUAA